UGGCCUUGAUUCAGAUUAGCUGUGGUUCAAU
RNAcentral lists this non-coding RNA (31 nucleotides) under Homo sapiens (human). Lineage: Eukaryota; Metazoa; Chordata; Mammalia; Primates; Hominidae. The record is from RNAcentral.